AGUAACGCGUGAGUAACCUGCCUUCAANAGGGGGAUAACAUUCUGAAAAGAAUGCUAAUACCGCAUGACAUAUCGGAACCACANGGUUUUGAUAUCAAAGAUUUUAUCGCUUGAAGAUGGACUCGCGUCCGAUUAGUUAGUUGGUGAGGUAACGGCUCACCAGGACCGCGAUCGGUAGCCGGACUGAGAGGUUGAUCGGCCACAUUGGGACUGAGACACGGCCCAGACUCCUACGGGAGGCAGCAUG
This 247-nucleotide ribosomal RNA is filed under the name uncultured bacterium. RNAcentral's name for it is "partial 16S ribosomal RNA". It matches the Rfam family "Bacterial small subunit ribosomal RNA", at positions 109 to 353 of the family's 1533-position model. The record is from RNAcentral.